ACAUAUUCAAAUAGCUUGUAACAAUUACAAAUACGCAAAGUGUGUCUUGGAAUCAUCAAAAUUUAUUUAAGGUCAACAAGUACAAAUUGUAAAUAAAAGGUGCAACUAAAGAUUAUGUUUUGCUAAAAAAUUAAAUUUUAUAGAUGUUACUUUUUAACACUUUAAUCUAUUAUAGGAAUUGGGGGAUAAAGAAUACAAUACGAAGAAAAACAGCCCUCGGUUGAUCGUAGUGCUUGGGUACCAAAAGAAAAGAACCCAUCCGAGGAAAGAGACGUCCACGAAGAACACAAUUGCCGAAGAUUUCUUUUCUGCAGAUUUUCCAGAGAGGCACCGAUGCCAAACCAUCCUGUCCAUCCGUAAGUCGCAAAGACCCGAGCCUCGCCGAGCAUCACUAUAUCACAUCGCGAGUAGCCGUUUGAAGUCCAAAUUUUGUUUUUCUUCUUAAUGACGCCCUCGUCUUGGGUGCCGUCUUUCUUUUUGUGCGGGCGUUGGCUUCUUCCCGCACUCCACAACGUGGUUAGGGAAUUGUCCUGGAUCGAUUGAAGACUGCGGGAGCACUCGUUGAUGCUGCUGUCGAAGCUAUCACCAGUGAUGGAUGGACGCAAGUGGGACACUUGGAAACGCCAAGGCAGCAGCGAAGGAGUUGACGGUGAAACACAGCUUUCGAGUGAUGAACAUGACUGAGAGAGAGACCUCCUUUCCCUUCUCUCUCGCUUUCUUCUCUCUAUUGUAUCUCUAUAUAUGUUGACCUUGACUUUUCUCCUCGGCAGCUUUUCCCUUCUUUUUGUAUUGUUUUUGAUUUUCCCCAAAGAAUGAAUGAAGAGCCCCCAAAAACCUUGAAAACGAAGACAAAUUUUUCUCCUUUGUCUUCAAUUUUUGACCUAGAAAACCGAGAAAAGCCCCUU
RNAcentral lists this long non-coding RNA (905 nucleotides) under Eucalyptus grandis. RNAcentral's name for it is "long non-coding RNA (EGRA_LNC000777)". Lineage: Eukaryota; Viridiplantae; Streptophyta; Magnoliopsida; Myrtales; Myrtaceae. The record is from RNAcentral.